RNAcentral lists this ribosomal RNA (348 nucleotides) under uncultured Anoxybacillus sp. RNAcentral describes it as "bacterial SSU rRNA". It matches the Rfam family "Bacterial small subunit ribosomal RNA", at positions 1035 to 1382 of the family's 1533-position model. Lineage: Bacteria; Bacillati; Bacillota; Bacilli; Caryophanales; Anoxybacillaceae. The record is from RNAcentral.
CAGGUGGUGCAUGGUUGUCGGUCAGCUCGUGUCGUGGAGAUGUUGGGUUAAGUCCCGCAACGAGCGCAACCCUCGACCUUAGUUGCCAGCAUUCAGUUGGGCACUCUAAGGUGACUGCCGGCUAAAAGUCGGAGGAAGGUGGGGAUGACGUCAAAUCAUCAUGCCCCUUAUGACCUGGGCUACACACGUGCUACAAUGGGCGGUACAAAGGGUCGCGAACCCGCGAGGGGGAGCCAAUCCCAAAAAGCCGCUCUCAGUUCGGAUUGCAGGCUGCAACUCGCCUGCAUGAAGCCGGAAUCGCUAGUAAUCGCGGAUCAGCAUGCCGCGGUGAAUACGUUCCCGGGCCUU